GUACACAUAAAGUUAUUCAAUGUAAUUGCUAAACGUAGUAUGUGUAUUUAAUUUUGUAUAUUUAAUCAAAUUGAAUAAGGGCGUGCAAAUUAGGUUAAGUGGCGCCACGCACUAAGGAAAUAGCAUUUCGAUCUAUAGGCUGUUCGAUAGGAACUGCUUGCGAUUCUCGAAAGCGUUAGUGGCGUUGGUACAAUUUAGUCAGCACAAGUAAGUGGCUUUGAGAGAAAAAUUACAGAAAUCAUUUAAUAUAAAGGAGUGCUGAAUAUUACAUAGUAAAUGUUAUCACUGUGAGCUUUAGGUUAGCUCGAAAUGAAGUUAAAUCGUAAAGUGCACGUUAAGAUGGCGUUACAAAGUGAUCAUUUGUUUUCUUUAACCUUUCGCAUAAACCUUUUAGGUAUGAUCAUAGAAUAUUAAGCAUUACUAGUAUCUACGGUAUCCACAUUCAGUUUAACAAUGCAGUAAUUAGGUUAGUUUGAAGUAAAAUUGAAUCAUAAAGAAUUGAAAACAGUAUCCCUUCGCUCACUUUUAGGUACCUCAGUAUGUGUAAAAAUCCAGAGAUACAGUAUAUUAAUCAGCUGUAUAGGAGAAAAAGAUACAUUGAAGGUCAUUUCGAUAUCGUGAAAGAUUAAACAGAAUCCUAUAAAACCUCAAUGGCGAAAGUAAACGAAGUAAUAGAGUACAUAUUUUGAUAUUUAUAAAUUGGGGAAUACAUUAAAAACUGAUGAUAAUUAAUCAUAGGAAAAAAGUGGCUUUUCUAAAUUACUUGAAACUUGGACAAAAGUCGCUUAUAGGGGUUGAAAAGAGUUACUUCUCCAGGUUACAAGAUCCAACCCAGUGUAUCAGCAAGGCGUAACAAGUGUCUGUGUGACGUCACGCGGCUUUCUGGAGGCGGAGCCUGUGAUCGCGGGAGCAGGUGGGGGUGGGACUCUCCCGCAUCGUGGAUCGUUUGCCCCACCCUCGGGAUUUUGUUCCUUCGUACCACCGCCACCUUCAACCUCCUCCUUUUCUCCCCCGUCGUCUCUUUUACUCUCUUUUGAACUUUGUUCGGUGACCCCCCACCUGUCUCUACUCUACCAAGUUGCAAGAACACCGAACUGCCACAAAAUACUCGAGUAAACUGUAAUCAAAUAACCGUUGACCCUUUGAAGUUAACCGGUGAAGUCAAGCGAUCCAGCCCGACGACGCACCGAUAUUACUUGAUACGUAGCUUCGUUGAAGUUGGAAAGAAUUUUCCCGGAAUACAUACGCGAAAAGAUGGUGUAAGGCGCUUUAAAGGUCUCCGGUCGGCGUGUUCCCGCAACGCUACCGUUUAUUGCACUGUGGUCUGCUAAAGUGCAAUCGAGGAAGCAAAAUGCGGUUUCACUCGUUCGUGCGGGGCUCGCAAGAAUGUAAUUAACCCCUCGGAAGUGGCACGGUGCUUCGACCCGUGGCCGAUUUUACCUGCGUUUUCUUAUCUCUCUGUCUUUAAAAGUGAGAAGCGCGGACGAGGGACACCUCGCCGAUCGGUUUUGUCGGUUCACACCGAUCUACCGCAAAAAUCGGGUCUGCGUGUCGUGAAACCGCAAUUACUUACGCGAAAGACGCCGGCCAGAUCUAUCGCAGUUGUCACGUGUGUUUAUGGUUGUUCGGCCAUGAUGUAAUCCCAUUGUUUUUUUACUUGAUUUUUCUAGUCUGUAUGUUGAGACUUUUUCUUUUAAUUGCAUAGUUUGCUUCCUUUAAUAAGAAAAUGUACAAACAAUGUGGUAAUUCAAUUCGUGGUUAGGAAUGCUUAAUAUAUAGAAUAGUUAACCAUUGUUAUUUGUCUUGCGAAUUAAUGAUCAAUUAAGAUAA
This is a long non-coding RNA of Bombus terrestris (buff-tailed bumblebee), 1830 nucleotides long. RefSeq lists it as uncharacterized. The record is from RefSeq and is a predicted model, not a curated record. The transcript has 4 exons. NCBI's taxonomy places the organism in Eukaryota, Metazoa, Arthropoda, Insecta, Hymenoptera, Apidae.